This 1147-nucleotide long non-coding RNA is filed under the name Homo sapiens (human). Its description in RNAcentral is "small nucleolar RNA host gene 1". The record is from RNAcentral. Lineage: Eukaryota; Metazoa; Chordata; Mammalia; Primates; Hominidae.
CUCAUUUUUCUACUGCUCGUGGAUUUACGCGCACGUUGGAACCGAAGAGAGCUCUGUUGUUGCAAUGUUCAGCCCACAAGAGCUUACUGGUGAAGGAAUGGGACAAGACCCAUCUUUAUGCAAAGCCAGCGUUACAGUAAUGUUCCAGGUACAUAAAAUGCUUUCCUCUGUUGUCUACAGCAUCUCAUAAUCUAUCCUGGGGAAUUCAGCUGCCUCCCAGGGUGAAUACAGGUAUUCCUGAUGACAGUCUGCCUCUAUCUUACAGAGCAGCUUGUUGCUAUAUACCAUUGAAAAGCCUUCAGAGCUGAGAGGUACUACUAACCAAUAACCUGCUUGGCUCAAAGGGCCAGCACCUUCUCUCUAAAGCCCAAGAGGAGUUUGAGGAAAACUAGGUGUCUGUGUUCACUCCAGGCUGAAGUUACAGGUCUGAGCAAAUAAGGUGUAUAAAAAAUGGAAUCUGUCUUGGAGGACAUCAGAAGGUGAAUUUUCCAAGUUCUUGGACAACCUAGCUGUUGAAAAGCUUUCUGGGUUUGGGGGGUAUUUCAGAUGUACCUUAAAGUGUUAGCAGACACAGAUUAAGACACUGGGAGCCAAUGAAACAGCAGUUGAGGGUUUGCUGUGUAUCACAUUUCUGUAUUUUAUCACCCCCUUCCUGCAACAUUAUUUAUCUGGAAUCUACCUGCCCUUUUGUUUUUUAGAUACAAGGGCUUGGUUUUGUUACCCAGGCUGGUUUCAAGGCCAUAGCUUUAAGAGAUCCUCUCACCACAGAUUUCCAAAGUGCUGGGAUUGCAGGUGUGAUUCAUGGCACCCAGACUUUGCUGCCUUUCUUACAUGAUCCAGGCCCAGAACCCAAACUCAGGCACUGUAUAGAUGACCACUUUCGUAAACUACUGACCUAGCUUGUUGCCAAUUGUUGAUUGAACUUCCCAUAACUCCACUUCGUGUCUGUUCCUCUGUAUACAGCCACCUUCUGUUCCCGUCAUGAGCCUUUAGGUCUCCAUUUGCAUAUUGCAAAUACUAUGUUCCAUGUAGGUAGCUCAUUCAGGGCCUUGCUCUUCACUUCAAAAAAGGUUCCCUUGAGGACUGGCUGUCAAUUUGUGUUGCUGUGUUGGUUGUUGAUGAAAAUAAUAAAAUGAUUGAUUACAUA